RNAcentral lists this ribosomal RNA (1217 nucleotides) under uncultured bacterium. RNAcentral's name for it is "bacterial SSU rRNA". It matches the Rfam family "Bacterial small subunit ribosomal RNA", at positions 234 to 1501 of the family's 1533-position model. The record is from RNAcentral.
CGUUGGAUAAGGAAUUGGUAGGUAAGGCCUUCCAAGCCGGCGAUCCAUAGCCGUUCGGAGAGGAGAUCAGCCAGACUGGAACUGGGACCCGGUCCAGACUCCUACGGGAGGCAGCAGUGAGGAUCUUCCCCAAUGGGCGAAAGCCUGAUGGAGCAACGCCGCGUGAAGGAUGAAGCCUUCGGGUUGUAAACUUCUUUUAUGAGUGAAGAAUAUGACGGUAACUCAUGAAUAAACACCCGGCUAACUACGUGCCAGCAGCCGCGGUCAUACGUAGGGUGCGAGCAUUAUCCGGAGUGACUGGGCGUAAAGAGUUGCGUAGGCGGUUUAAUAAGUGAAUAGUGAAACCUGGUGGCUCAACCAUACAGACUGUUAUUCAAACUGUUAAACUCGAGAAUGGUAGAGGUAACUGGAAUUUCUUGUGUAGGAGUGAAAUCCGUAGAUAUAAGAAGGAACACCAAUGGCGUAGGCAGGUUACUGGGCCAUUUCUGACGCUAAGGCACGAAAGCGUGGGGAGCGAACCGGAUUAGAUACCCGGGUAGUCCACGCCGUAAACGAUGGAUACUAGCUGUUGGAGGUAUCGACCCCUUCAGUAGCGAAGCUAACGCGUUAAGUAUCCCGCCUGUGGAGUACGGCCGCAAGGCUAAAACAUAAAGGAAUUGACGGGGACCCGCACAAGCGGUGGAUUAUGUUCUUUAAUUCGAUGAUAACCGAAGAACCUUACCAGGGCUUGACAUCCAGGGAAGGUCUGCGAAAGUAGACUGUGCCUUUUGGAACCCUGUGACAGGUGAUGCAUGGCCGUCGUCAGCUCGUGUCGUGAGAUGUUAGGUUAAGUCCUUCAACGAGCGCAACCCUUGCAAGUAGUUGUAUUUUUCUACUUGGACUGCCCCGGUAACGGGGAGGAAGGAGGGGAUGAUGUCAGGUCAGUAUUUCCCUUACGUCCUGGGCUAGAAACGUAAUACAAUGGCUAGUACAAUGCGCAGCGAAGCCGCGAGGUGAAGCAAAUCGCAUCAAAGCUAGUCCCAGUUCGGAUUGCAGGCUGAAACUCGCCUGCAUGAAGUCGGAAUCGCUAGUAAUCGCAAAUCAGCAAGUUGCGGUGAAUACGUUCCCGGGUCUUGUACACACCGCCCGUCAAACCAUGAAAGUGACCAACACCCGAAGUCCGAUUCGUCGGCCUAAGGUGGGGGCCUUAAUGGGGGUUAAGUCGUAACAAGGUAACC